UGAUAGAGAGUGAGAGCCUGACUUUUCUUCUCCAAGUCUAUGUGCAAAAGAGAACUCAGCAAGUCCUCCAUCUAAUUUGAAACUGUAAGCUUAAACAUUUGAAACCCACCAGGCUGGAGAUGCAACAGGACAAGUAUUGUUAUCUGGCUUUCUCACCAAUGAUUUGUGAGGAGGAGGCUGUUCUCUACGACAAGAGUAAAGAUGAAAGAAAGUUUUGCUGCUUUUUUCAAAUCCUGGAGAGCUGGACAGCUGCCAGAGUUUUCAUCAGAUACCUUAAGCUCUAAUUACUCUCAGCUCAUAUGGAGUUUCAGUUCACCUAUGUCAUGGGAAACAAAUAUUUUACUAACAAGCCUUUAAGCUUUUAUAAAUACAUGACAUCAGUAAUCAUUAUCGUGUCCUGAGCUACUUUUUGUGUGUUUUGAGUGCAUAGUUAAAAACAUUCAAGCCCUUAAAUAUAUCCAGAGGCUGUGUAAAAAAGUACAAUAACCGGUGUUUUGAUUUCUCCAUUUUACAGUCAUAGUAUUUUGCAUCAGUGGUGUAUUAAGUUAUACUGGAAGUGUUCAAGACCAGUGGGAUGAGGUUAGGAGCAACCUGGUCUACUGGAAGAUGUCCAUGCCCUGUCAUAAAUAGCUACAACUAAAUAAAAUGAGUCCCACUC
Agelaius phoeniceus (red-winged blackbird) is the source of this 658-nucleotide long non-coding RNA. RefSeq lists it as uncharacterized. The record is from RefSeq and is a predicted model, not a curated record. Lineage: Eukaryota; Metazoa; Chordata; Aves; Passeriformes; Icteridae.